This 365-nucleotide long non-coding RNA is filed under the name Ictidomys tridecemlineatus (thirteen-lined ground squirrel). RNAcentral's name for it is "lncRNA (ENSSTOG00000029500.1)". The record is from RNAcentral. Lineage: Eukaryota; Metazoa; Chordata; Mammalia; Rodentia; Sciuridae.
CAGGAAAUUCUAGUAGUUCACUAAUAAUUCUGUCUUUAUUCCCAGGUAGAAGGUAAACAGAGUUGGUCUGUUUAUAUGAAACCAUAUUUUAAGCCUCUCAAGAAAUCCCCAAUCACAGAUUCUUCUGAUUAACAGAGAUAAUGCUUAUUAUAUUAAGCACCAUGUUACUCUGGAAUGAAGAAACAAAGAGUACAAAACUGCCACUCUGCAUGUACAUCAAUUUUUCCAGCGACCUAAGAGAAGAGAUCACAGGAUUUGGGACAUUUAGAAGAUUUCCAUCAUUAUUUGGCUUUGGAUCACACCAGAAGUGGUGGAGCACAGGAGCCCUUACCCUGCUUGCUAAGGACUUUCUCCCAGCUCUUUCU